This 291-nucleotide ribosomal RNA is filed under the name Triticum aestivum (bread wheat). RNAcentral describes it as "partial small subunit ribosomal RNA". The record is from RNAcentral. Lineage: Eukaryota; Viridiplantae; Streptophyta; Magnoliopsida; Poales; Poaceae.
AUGCAUCCUAGACAAAUUAAACACAACAACCAGCCCGUGUCCGUCGGCAUCGAUGGAAAGCAGCCGAGCUUCCAGAUGUACAAUGGCGGCAUCAUGACCGGCGACGCCUGCGGCACAGAAAUUAACCACGCGGUCACCCUGGUGGGCUACGGUGUCGAGCAGGAUGGGACAAGCUACUGGCUCAUCAAGAACUCGUGGGGCCAAAACUGGGGAGAAGGAGGCUACAUGAAGCUCCAGAGAGGCACGGGCGCCUGCGGCGUUGACAUGCUGGCAUCUUACCCUGUCGCAUGA